GUUGGGUGAAGUGGUGCACGCCUGUAAUCCCAGUGGCUUUGGAGGUUGAGGCAGGAGGAUCACAAGUUCAAAGCCAGCCUCAGCAACUUAUUGAGGCCCUCGGAAACUCAGUCAGACCCUGUCUCUA
RNAcentral lists this small RNA (127 nucleotides) under Marmota monax (woodchuck). Lineage: Eukaryota; Metazoa; Chordata; Mammalia; Rodentia; Sciuridae. The record is from RNAcentral.